UGGGGAAUAUUGCACAAUGGGCGCAAGCCUGAUGCAGCCAUGCCGCGUGUAUGAAGAAGGCCUUCGGGUUGUAAAGUACUUUCAGCGAGGAGGAAGGCGUUGUGGUUAAUAACCGCAACGAUUGACGUUACUCGCAGAAGAAGCACCGGCUAACUCCGUGCCAGCAGCCGCGGUAAUACGGAGGGUGCAAGCGUUAAUCGGAAUUACUGGGCGUAAAGCGCACGCAGGCGGUCUGUCAAGUCGGAUGUGAAAUCCCCGGGCACAACCUGGGAACUGCAUCCGAAACUGGCAGGCUAGAGUCUUGUAGAGGGGGGUAGAAUUCCAGGUGUAGCGGUGAAAUGCGUAGAGAUCUGGAGGAAUACCGGUGGCGAAGGCGGCCCCCUGGACAAAGACUGACGCUCAGGUGCGAAAGCGUGGGGAGCAAACA
This 427-nucleotide ribosomal RNA is filed under the name uncultured bacterium. RNAcentral's name for it is "partial 16S ribosomal RNA". It matches the Rfam family "Bacterial small subunit ribosomal RNA", at positions 355 to 774 of the family's 1533-position model. The record is from RNAcentral.